AUACAUGCAAGUCGAGCGGACAGAAGGGAGCUUGCUCCCGGAUGUUAGCGGCGGACGGGUGAGUAACACGUGGGUAACCUGCCUGUAAGACUGGGAUAACUCCGGGAAACCGGAGCUAAUACCGGAUAGUUCCUUGAACCGCAUGGUUCAAGGAUGAAAGACGGUUUCGGCUGUCACUUACAGAUGGACCCGCGGCGCAUUAGCUAGUUGGUGGGGUAAUGGCUCACCAAGGCGACGAUGCGUAGCCGACCUGAGAGGGUGAUCGGCCACACUGGGACUGAGACACGGCCCAGACUCCUACGGGAGGCAGCAGUAGGGAAUCUUCCGCAAUGGACGAAAGUCUGACGGAGCAACGCCGCGUGAGUGAUGAAGGUUUUCGGAUCGUAAAGCUCUGUUGUUAGGGAAGAACAAGUGCGAGAGUAACUGCUCGCACCUUGACGGUACCUAACCAGAAAGCCACGGCUAACUACGUGCCAGCAGCCGCGGUAAUACGUAGGUGGCAAGCGUUGUCCGGAAUUAUUGGGCGUAAAGGGCUCGCAGGCGGUUUCUUAAGUCUGAUGUGAAAGCCCCCGGCUCAACCGGGGAGGGUCAUUGGAAACUGGGAAACUUGAGUGCAGAAGAGGAGAGUGGAAUUCCACGUGUAGCGGUGAAAUGCGUAGAGAUGUGGAGGAACACCAGUGGCGAAGGCGACUCUCUGGUCUGUAACUGACGCUGAGGAGCGAAAGCGUGGGGAGCGAACAGGAUUAGAUACCCUGGUAGUCCACGCCGU
Molecule: ribosomal RNA, 769 nt
Filed under: unidentified microorganism
Description: bacterial SSU rRNA
Rfam family: Bacterial small subunit ribosomal RNA
Source: RNAcentral